CCUACGGGGGGCAGCAGUGGGGAAUCUUGCGCAAUGGGCGGAAGCCUGACGCAGCAACGCCGCGUGGGGGAUGACGGCCUUCGGGUUGUAAACCCCUUUCGCGAUCGACGCGGUAGGUCGAGAAGAAGCACCGGCCAACUACGUGCCAGCAGCCGCGGUAAUACGUAGGGUGCGAGCGUUGUCCGGAAUUAUUGGGCGUAAAGAGCUCGUAGGCGGUGUGUCACGUCGGCCGUGAAAACCUGGGGCUUAACUCUGGGCGUGCGGUCGAUACGGGCACACUUGAGUUCGGCAGGGGAGACUGGAAUUCCUGGUGUAGCGGUGAAAUGCGCAGAUAUCAGGAGGAACACCGGUGGCGAAGGCGGGUCUCUGGGCCGAACUGACGCUGAGGAGCGAAAGCAUGGGUAGCGAACAGGAUUAGAUACCCUUGUAGUC
Molecule: ribosomal RNA, 432 nt
Filed under: uncultured bacterium
Lineage: Bacteria
Description: partial 16S ribosomal RNA
Rfam family: Bacterial small subunit ribosomal RNA
Source: RNAcentral